CCCCUAUGUUCUAUUUUUAGCCAUGGCGGCCAUCUUGGAUGGUUGGCCGUGUCACCGGACACAUUUUUUAAACUAGAUACCCCAAUGAUGGUUGUGGCCAAGUUUGGUUUAAUUUGGCCCAGUAGUUUCAGAGGAGAAGAUUUUUGUAAAAGUUAACGACGACGACGGACGCCGGACGCCAAGUGAUGAGAAAAGCUCACUUGGCCUUU
RNAcentral lists this long non-coding RNA (209 nucleotides) under Mytilus galloprovincialis (Mediterranean mussel). Lineage: Eukaryota; Metazoa; Mollusca; Bivalvia; Mytilida; Mytilidae. The record is from RNAcentral.